RNAcentral lists this ribosomal RNA (200 nucleotides) under uncultured bacterium. Its description in RNAcentral is "partial 16S ribosomal RNA". It matches the Rfam family "Bacterial small subunit ribosomal RNA", at positions 328 to 538 of the family's 1533-position model. The record is from RNAcentral.
ACGCUCGACACCUACGGGAGGCAGCAGUCGGGAAUAUUGCGCAAUGGAGGAAACUCUGACGCAGUGACGCCGCGUAUAGGAAGAAGGUUUUCGGAUUGUAAACUAUUGUCGUUAGGGAAGAUACAAGACAGUACCUAAGGAGGAAGCACCGGCUAACUAUGUGCCCGCAGCCGCGGUAAUCUGAGCGGGCGGUGCAAGGC